AGAUUGAACGCUGGCGGCGUGCCUAACACAUGCAAGUCGAGCGGUAACAGGUGUAGCAAUACAUGCUGACGAGCGGCGAACGGGUGAGUAAUGCUUUGGAAUCUUCCCAGUAGUGGGGAAUAACCAGUCGAAAGAUUGGCUAAUACCGCAUACGUCUGUAAAGGGAAAGCGGGGGCUCGUAAGACCUCGCGCUAUUGGAUGAGCCAAAGUCGGAUUAGCUAGUUGGUGGGGUAAUGGCCUACCAAGGCGACAAUCCGUAGCUGGUCUGAGAGGACGACCAGCCACACCGGAACUGAGACACGGUCCGGACUCCUACGGGAGGCAGCAGUGGGGAAUAUUGGACAAUGGGGGAAACCCUGAUCCAGCGACGCCGCGUGUGUGAAGAAGGCCUGCGGGUUGUAAAGCACUUUUAGUGGGGACAAAAAAGCUACGGAUUAAUACUCUGUGGUCUUGAUUUAACCCAAAGAAAAAGCACCGGCUAACUCUGCGCCAGCAGCCGCGGU
RNAcentral lists this ribosomal RNA (503 nucleotides) under uncultured bacterium. RNAcentral describes it as "SSU rRNA". It matches the Rfam family "Bacterial small subunit ribosomal RNA", at positions 26 to 521 of the family's 1533-position model. The record is from RNAcentral.